CUUAAGGGAAGAAGGAUUGAUUUGGAAUCCUUGUUUAGGAUUUUAGUCUAUCCUGGAAUGGUGUACUGGUUUCAUGGCAUCAUGUUGAAACUCCUUACAUUAUGGACAGACCAGGAAGCAUCUGUGCACAACUGGCUGAAUUGGAGGAAACAGAAGGAGAAAAAGAAAUUCAAAAGAAAAGGCUGCACUUGCAACUGCCAGGGUCCCAACUGCCAGGAGUGUUUGAACACAGCGACAGAGAGCAAACUAGAGCACGCACCCAUGGGUCUGUCUCCUAGAUGGUUCUAGAGCCUGUCAAGUUGACAGUCCAUAUUAACCAUCACAGCAGUUUACCUUCAACACACCCAGGCUGGCCCAGAAGACCUUGAUGUGAAUUCCAUACUCAUGCUCAGAUUGCCAGGAAGCGGCUUCAGUUCUUUUAUGCUUAUAUAUCACCGCAUUCUGUGAUCUUCCAGUUUCUGUGGGGGAAAAGAUGGGUUUCCAAGAUCCCUUUCUGAAUUCUAGAUGGGGGCAGGGCAUUCUCCAGUCGAGCAAGAUGGGUCUUCAUCUGAAAUUGCCUCCAUCUACAAUGGCUCUUUACCUGCCCUCUCCAAUACUUCUCUCCAACUGCUUUAUUUCCUUU
Molecule: long non-coding RNA, 622 nt
Organism: Meriones unguiculatus (Mongolian gerbil)
Lineage: Eukaryota; Metazoa; Chordata; Mammalia; Rodentia; Muridae
Exons: 4
Source: RefSeq, a predicted model, not a curated record